GAUGAAGAACGUAGCGAAAUGCGAUAAGUAAUGUGAAUUGCAGAAUUCCGUGAAUCAUCGAAUCUUUGAACGCACAUUGCGCCCUCUGGUAUUCCGGGGGGCAUGCCUGUACGAGCGUCAUUUGCAACCCUCAAGCCCGGCUUGUGUGAUGGGUGCCGUCCCCUACGGGACGCGCCCCGAAGGCAAUGGCGGCGUCGCGGUUAUCCGAUCAGCCAAAGUGUAUGGGGCUUUGUCACUCACUUUACGGCCCGGACCGGCGCCAGUCCGAAUCAAUCUUUUUUCUAAAGUUGACCUCGGAUCAGGUAGGGAUACCCGCUGAACUUAAGCAUAUCAAUAAGCGGAGGA
Molecule: unclassified non-coding RNA, 345 nt
Filed under: soil metagenome
Description: partial contains 5.8S ribosomal RNA, internal transcribed spacer 2, and large subunit ribosomal RNA
Rfam family: 5.8S ribosomal RNA (bases 1-120)
Source: RNAcentral